Molecule: long non-coding RNA, 2131 nt
Organism: Brachypodium distachyon (stiff brome)
Lineage: Eukaryota; Viridiplantae; Streptophyta; Magnoliopsida; Poales; Poaceae
Exons: 2
Source: RefSeq, a predicted model, not a curated record
GGAACAGCGUCUCUAUCGUGCUUGUUAGGGUAAACCUUACUGAAUCUUGAUUAUAAUAAAAGGUUCGUUAUGCCGUGUUACAGGUGGUUCCUAAACGGUGGAAGCACUGAGCUUUGAUCAAUAACAAGGUGGAGCAACUUUUCAUCAAGUGGAUGGAGCUAUGUGUGGUAAAGCCUCAGCUAUAGUUCGCCUAGUAAAUGUUCUCCUUUUGGUUGAGUUAACAUCAGAUCUUUAGGGAAGGCACUCCCUUCCUGUUAGUGCCUAGAGCUGAUUUGAUUUGGUGUUGAAAACUGCAUGCUUCCUUAUCGUGAAGAACCAUGUUGCUAAAACAAACAAAGUUUGUUAUUCCUCUGUGGUGCUGUGGGCACUCUCUAGUCACUAGCUGUUGCCGGCUUGGUCAUACAUGCUACACACAUGGACAAAUUUUUAUCCUGGUAUGGGCUCUCUUUUUACCUUUUCUGUAUGCUAUUAUGCUACUGCUUAGCUAGGGCAAGAUUGCAUGCAUCGUCUCCAUGAAUGACUUUGGUGGCCAGUCACAAUCUAAUUCCCAGAUGGUGCCUGCCUUGAUUUGCACUUGUUGGCCUGUUUUCCCAAUCCUCUGCCUCUGCAUCUGCACUGGGAGUUGUAGUUGGUCUGAUGUGCCCUGAGCUGCAAGUUGGACAGUCUUGUGAGUUGUGAGCCUGCACGUAGGCUGCCGCUGAUGCAACCUGCUGCCACUUUGCUUGCUCUCUGGGCUGAUGCCCACUACACGAGCCAAAGCAAAGGAGGAAGUGCCAUGCAUGCAAGCUGUCUAAUUCAUGGGAAGAAAAGUGACGCAUACAUUUCUUCCUAUGCAACUUUUUUGCAUGUGAUGGAAGGAAACAGAGAUAUUGAGAUAGCGCUGCGGCGUUCCAGAACCUGAAUCUCCCAGGUGUGCUGACUAUGACUUGAGCAGUUUGAUUAGAAGACUAGUAUUGAACUACUGAUGCACUUGUCGAUUAGGAUGAAAACAUGUUACUUUUCCAAUAAAAAAGCAUGUCAGUUUUGUUAUCUGGAUGACAUGUAAGUUUAUUUGUAGACUAAUCUUCUCAUUACCUCUAUUAACUUUGCUUGUUUUUGAAGCCAGAUGCUAGUGGAGUUGAAGUUUUUCCUGUUGACUUUCCACACGUAGAACAACAGAGCGCCCAGGUUUUCUGCAGCAUGUCAGGUGUAGGCCUAAUCGCACCACAACACCAAACAAUUUAGAUUUACAGUUUUUGUCAGUUUCAUCUGUCCAUUGUCAUAACCAUGAAAAGGAGAUGCAUGUAUGCAGGAAGCUGCCUGAGCUAGCUAGACCUGAGCAGGACGACACUACAGAUAACAUUUGAACUGAAGCUUCAGGCUCAAAUGUUUCCCAGAUCUGGGGCGACCAUGAAUGCCAGAUGGAGACCAUCGGCAUGGCUCCUAAUCUUCUUGCUCAUAUUCGGUAUGGCUGUACUGGUUGUUUGGUGAGAUGAGUCCAAAAGGAGCUUCGAAAUAACCGAGCAGGAUGAGAGAAUUGACGGUUCAGACCAGUGAUCUUUGCUUCUUCUGUGUCCAGCCAAGCUACUGAGCACGCCAAGCAGAUGCAUGCAGCGGUGCACACUUGAUUUUCUGGCAGUGGCGAGCGUUAGGUGCUGUGGCGAGCAGAGCAAAGAGGGAAGGUGAUUCUGAUGCCCAGCUAGAAUCCUAGUACUAAUCUUCUAGUUUCUUACUGGCGUGAUGGGGUGUUAGGUUAGGUGCUGGUAAUGCAGAUUAGAUGCCGGAUCUCCGACGGCAAUGGCAACGGCGAUGGAUCAUGAUUGAGCCGCUGACCUCUAACAUUGCAAUGCAAAGCCGGGUUUGGAGUGGAUGGAUAGAGAAUCCUCGCCUUUUCCACCUUUGCCAUGCACGAGUUAGGCCGUUAGCGCGCAUGAUCAUGCCUCGUAGGCCAUGCACGCCGGCCCAAGCGUGGCAUGAUGCCAUCCUGAUGGCAAAACUUUGUCACAACUCCACGAGCCGACUAAAUCUGAUAUAACUAGAGUUAGUGAAAACUCGUGUGGUCUGUUUCUUUAAGUUGCUGUUGUUGUUUGUAUGUUGGUCGUGUUGUUUUUGGUGCAUAAAGUAGAGAUUUGAAGCUUUUGUUUUGGGCUAA